Molecule: RNA transcript, 1791 nt
Organism: Nicotiana attenuata
Lineage: Eukaryota; Viridiplantae; Streptophyta; Magnoliopsida; Solanales; Solanaceae
Gene name: ethylene-responsive transcription factor RAP2-12-like
Exons: 2
Source: RefSeq, a predicted model, not a curated record
UAGUUACCGUAUCCCUUAGCAUAAUCUUGUACCCUCCUAAGUAGUAAUAAACUUUCUCGGAAAAUCCGCAACAAACAAACUUUCCCAAGAAAAUAACUUGCUAAAGAAUGUGCGGUGGUGCCAUAAUCUCCGACUGCAUACCUCCACCCCGAUCAUCCCGCCGACUCACCGCCGACUUGUUAUGGGGCUGCUCCAAUCUGAACAAUAAGAAGAAAAAGAAGAACCCUUUUAAUUACCAAUACUCAAAGCCGUUGAGAUCUGAGGUUGUUGAUUUUGAUUAUGAUGACUUUGAGGCUGACUUUCAGGACUUUAAGGAUUGCUCUGAUGAUGAGGUGGAUGAACUCAAGCCCCUUGCUGCUUUCUCUGCUUCUGAACAAUCUGGAGGAACCUCUGCUGGCUCCAAAUCAUUGAAAUCUGUUGAUCCAGACAAAGAAGUUGAGAAGUCUUCCAAGAGAAAGAGGAAGAAUCAGUAUAGGGGGAUCAGACAGCGUCCUUGGGGUAAGUGGGCAGCCGAAAUACGUGAUCCACAGAAAGGGGUUCGAGUCUGGCUUGGAACUUUCAAUACGGCAGAAGAAGCUGCCAGAGCUUAUGAUAUUGAAGCUCGGAGGAUCAGAGGCAAGAAAGCUAAGGUAAACUUUCCUGAUGAAGCCCCAGUGGCUGCCUCGAGGCAAGCUGGUAAGGUAAAUCCUCUGACGGUGCUCCCUAAGGCGAGCUCUAACCCAGUUCUGUCCGACGCCACUUUUGUGAACAACUUGGAUGAUGGAUGUUAUGAAAAAUUGGGCUUUUUCGAAGAGAAACCAACAAAAAAUCUGUAUGGGUAUGACGAUUUGUGCCCUACUCCUGGAGAUUUGGGACCUAACUCUUAUGCCCUUCCAGCUGCUGCUGGUGUUUACUUCAAUUCUGAUCAAGGAAGUAACUCUUUUGAACCUUCUGAUUUUGGCUGGGGCGUGUUCAAGGACACCAGAAAUAUCAUCUGUUCUGUCGGCUGCUGUAGAAAGUGAUGAAGCUCAAUUUGUUGAAGGUGCCUGCCCAGAGGAAAAACUUAUAUCGUGUUCCAACAUUUCAGCACCUAACGAUGGGAACACUGCCCCCAAGCUAUCUGAAGAGCUUUCAACUUUUGAAUCCCAGAUGAAUUUCUUCCAAGCCCAACAAUCGGAGGGAAACUUGGAUGCGUUAGUUGAUGCCUUCCUCAAUGCAGAUGCAACUCAGGAUGUUGAAAAUGAAAUGGACCUUUGGUUCUUUGAUGAGCUUUCUUCUCUAAUGAGAGGUGUCUACUAAGCUAAGAAUGAUUCUGCAGACUCAAUGCUUCUGCAGACUCGUUGUAAAUAAAGCUUCACGCGAGUGAAGUUUGCUCGUCUCUCCUCUCCAAGCAAGGCUCAGUUACUUGCUGUAAGCAUUUAUUUGAAACUUUACCGUUUGAUAUCUGUUUCCUUCUUCUUUUAAGUGUCUGUUUAGGAGGAUGAUGGCAAAGCAUUCAAGCAAUGAGUAGAUGUUGGUUAUAGAUCAAUAGAUAGGUAAUAGAUUAUUAACAACCGCAGACAACAACGUGAAGAUCUGGUUAUUUUACAAUGGCAAGUUGCUUUACAUGGUCUGUUCGUUGUAGUCAACGUUAUGCAUAUGCUGGCUAAAUAUAGUUUUGUUAGCUAUAGCAGUCCCGGAACAGAGAUUAAUUAAACUAAGUGGAUGAUUUGAGCUGUAAAUAUUGAAAGGAGAGAUGCACGAUCUUUUGAUCGAUCAAGAAUUGCACUCAUUGGAAUGUAGUUAUGUGAAAAUCAGUUUCACAAUUUUGAA